Molecule: ribosomal RNA, 439 nt
Filed under: uncultured bacterium
Lineage: Bacteria
Description: partial 16S ribosomal RNA
Rfam family: Bacterial small subunit ribosomal RNA
Source: RNAcentral
CCUACGUGUGGCAGCAGUAGGGAAUAUUGCUCAAUGGGGGAAACCCUGAAGCAGCAACGCCGCGUGGAGGAUGAAGGUUUUCGGAUUGUAAACUCCUUUUGUUAGAGAAGAUAAUGACGGUAUCUAACGAAUAAGCACCGGCUAACUCCGUGCCAGCAGCCGCGGUAAUACGGAGGAUGCGAGCGUUAUCCGGAUUUAUUGGGUUUAAAGGGUGCGCAGGCGGAGGCACAAGUCAGCGGUAAAAUCGCGGGGCUCAACCCCGCUCCGCCGUUGAAACUGUGUCCCUUGAGUGCGCGAAGGGUAGGCGGAAUGCGUGGUGUAGCGGUGAAAUGCAUAGAUAUCACGCAGAACUCCGAUCGCGAAGGCAGCCUACCGGCGCGCAACUGACGCUCAUGCACGAAAGCGUGGGUAUCGAACAGGAUUAGAUACCCGAGUAGUC